CCCUUAGAUGUUCUGGGCCGCACGCGCGCUACACUGGUUCAUGCAACAAGUUUUGUCCUUGGCUGAUAGGCCUGGGUAAUCUUUGAACGUGAAUCGUGAUGGGGAUAGAUGAUUGCAAUUAUUCAUCUUCAACGAGGAAUUCCUAGUAAACGCAAGUCAUCAGCUUGCAUUGAUUACGUCCCUGCCCUUUGUACACACCGCCCGUCGCACCUACCGAUUGAAUGGUCCGGUGAAAUCUUCGGAUCUGAGAGAUGUCUGAUUAAUUUCGGACGCCUUUUGGAAAAGUUGCUUAAACCUUACCAUUUAGAGGAAGGUGAAGUCGUAACA
This 327-nucleotide ribosomal RNA is filed under the name uncultured eukaryote. RNAcentral describes it as "partial 18S ribosomal RNA". It matches the Rfam family "Eukaryotic small subunit ribosomal RNA", at positions 1470 to 1796 of the family's 1831-position model. The record is from RNAcentral.